UCYGGUUGAUCCUGCCRGACCCGACUGCUAUCAGAGUAGGACUAAGCCAUGCGAGUCAACGCCGCAAGGCGUGGCAUACGGCUCAGUAACACGUAGUCAACAUGCCCAAAGGACGUGGAUAACCUCGGGAAACUGAGGAUAAACCGCGAUAGGCCAAGGUUUUCUGGAAUGAGCCCUGGCCGAAAUCUAUAUGGCCUUUGGAUUGGACUGCGGCCGAUCAGGCUGUUGGUGAGGUAAUGGCCCACCAAACCUGUAACCGGUACGGGCUUUGAGAGAAGGAGCCCGGAGAUGGGCACUGAGACAAGGGCCCAGGCCCUAUGGGGCGCAGCAGGCGCGAAACCUCUGCAAUAGGCGAAAGCCUGACAGGGUUACUCUGAGUGAUGCCCGCUAAGGGUAUCUUUUGGCACCUCUAAAAAUGGUGCAGAAUAAGGGGUGGGCAAGUCUGGUGUCAGCCGCCGCGGUAAUACCAGCACCCCGAGUUGUCGGGACGAUUAUUGGGCCUAAAGCAUCCGUAGCCUGUUCUGCAAGUCCUCCGUUAAAUCCACCUGCUCAACGGAUGGGCUGCGGAGGAUACCGCAGAGCUAGGAGGCGGGAGAGGCAAACGGUACUCAGUGGGUAGGGGUAAGAUCCAUUGAUCUACUGAAGACCACCAGUGGCGAAGGCGGUUUGCCAGAACGCGCUCGACGGUGAGGGAUGAAAGCUGGGGGAGCAAACCGGAUUAGAUACCCGGGUAGUCCCAGCUGUAAACGAUGCAGACUCGGUGAUGGGUUGGCCUCGAGCCAACCCAGUGCCGCAGGGAAGCCGUUUAAGUCUGCCGCCUGGGGAGUACGGUCGCAAGACUGAAACUUAAAGGAAGUUGGCGGGGGAGCACCCACAAGGGGUGAAGCCUGCGGUUCAAUUGGABUCAACGCCGGR
This 915-nucleotide ribosomal RNA is filed under the name uncultured archaeon. RNAcentral describes it as "bacterial SSU rRNA". It matches the Rfam family "Archaeal small subunit ribosomal RNA", at positions 1 to 922 of the family's 1478-position model. The record is from RNAcentral.